UGGUUAUUUACUAUAUAUGAAAGACACAACUUCUUUCUUUUCUUUUUUUUUUUUUUGAGGCGGAGUUUUGCUCUUGUUGCCCAGGCUGGAGUGCAGGGGCAUGAUCUCAGCUCACUACAACCUCUGCCUCCUGGGUUCAAGCGAUUCUCCUGCCUCAGCCUCCCAAGUAGCUGGGAUUGCAGGCUCCCACCACCAUGCCUGGCUAAUUUUAAAAAUAUUUUUAGUAGAGACGGGGUUUCACAAUAUUGGCCAGGCUAGUCUCGAACUCCUGACCUCUGGUGGUCCACCCACCUUGGCCUCCCAAAGUGCUGGGAUUACAGGUGUGAGCCACUGCACCCAGCUGACACAACUUCUUUCUAAAUAAUCUUUAUGCAACUUAUAAGUUAUAAUCCUUAUUAUCCUGACUUACGAGUAUGACCCAAUCUUUGAAUUUAGUUUCUUUGUUUACUCGUCAAAUAAUCUCUCAUUUUUAAUUGUAAGAAAUUAGUUCUGUAACAUAAGUGAGCCUGAAAGAAAGAGAACAGGCUCCGAUAAUGGAGUAGUUUUUAUCAGACUUAUCUUCCCAGUAGUCCCACACUGUCCCACUCACACACAGUCACACUCAGUGCCUUCCCAGGGGCAGCCCAUAGCAGAAUAGGAUGCACACUACUCUGGGAUGGAAGGAAAGGCAAGACUUCAAGGACUGGGCUGCCUAGCCAAACCUCUUUGGUGUGUUGCAUGAAAUUUUUGAAGUUUUUAUGGAUAUUGGAGGCAAGAAGAGAUACAAUAAGAAGCUCAAUUAACUAAAUGACUUUUUUAUCAAAACUUCAUCUCACCCUAAAUGGGCUUUCAGUCAUCUCCCUAGUCUCACAAGUGAGCACUGAGGGAUCCUUGCCCUGGAAUUAGUCAGUUCUCUAUGAAUAGGCAUUUAAGAACAUUUCUCUCUGUAGCUAGAAUGUCAGGUCAGCUACCUGGGCAUUUACUUGGUUUCUGUCCUGAUAGAGCCCAAGUGCUUAUGUGAUAACCUAAUUCUCUCACCUUGUCCUCCUGUUCUUAUGAUAUUUAAAAAGUCUUUUCCUUGACUUAUUCUUCAAUAAUUGUGUCAUUUUGGUUCCUGCCAGGUUAGCGGCUUCCUUGCUUUCGAUUCUGACUUCAUUGUGUCCCCUAAUCCCUAAAUGCCUUCUUGAUUUCAGCCCACUUCCUUUCUGACCUCCAGUGGCACUGGCGUGUGUACAGACACACUGAGUUCCAUUUACAUGUGCCUAGGACUGUGCACUCACUUAGCCUCACACUCAUCCACACUCACAUCCCCACUUUCCCACAAUCACUCACACUCAGUGUCCUCCAUUUACUCAGCCCCACUCACUCUCGCCCAACCGUACACACUUGUUCCAUUCACUCACACUCCUGGUCGUUCCCUUCACACUCACACUCCUUCACAUUCAUGACCAGCCACCCCACUGGCCUCCAUUUAGUACUACUCGGUCUCACCCAGCCCUACCCAUAUGCACACCAGAGUCAGCUCACUCACAGUCGCACAGUCAGUCCCUCAAAUGCAGUCACUCCCUCAGGAACUCCUUCCCUCUCACUCAGGUACAAUGUCUCAUUCAUCCUCAGUGCCCUUCACACACUUCAUAUACACACUGGGCAUGUGUCACACCCACUCACACAAACUUCAGGCACAGCCAGUCCUACCCACACUUAUUCACGCUUAUUUCACUCAUGCCCAGCCCCACCCACUCACACCUAGUCACACUCACAUGUGGUCCCAAACAGUUCCAGUAUACCUAGACUCACACAGUCCUACUCAUACCUAGUCACACUCAGUCACGCUCACACAUGGUCCCGCACAGUUCCAAUACACCUAGCCUCACACAGUCCUAUGCAUACCUAGUCACACUCAGUCACAUGCAUACAUGGUCCCACCCACUCACACUCACACCUAGUCACACUCACAUAUGGUCCCACACCGUUCCAAUACACCUGGUUUCACACAGUCCUUCUGACACCUAGUCACACUCAGUCACACUCACACAUGGUCCCACACAAUCACACUCACACUAGUCAUACUCUAUUCUACUACCUCUCAGAGAAUUCCACUCUAUUCUACUCUCUCGGUGUCAUUUGUCCCCUCAGGAGGAUGCAGCAUUCAAGGUUCUAUCUUGGAAGCAGAGACUGUGCCCUCACCAGAUGCUGAACCUGCUGAGCACCCUGAUCUUCCACUUCACCUUCAUCAGAACUGGACGCGCAUGAAAUUUGGUGCCGUGACUCGGAUCGGCGGACCUCCCUUAGGAGAUCAAUCCCCUGUCCUCCUGCUCUUUGCUCCAUGAGAAAGAUCCACCUACGACCUAAGGUCCUCAGACCAACCAGCCCAAGAAACAUCUCACCAAUUUCAAAUCCGAAAUCCUUCAUCUAAUCUGGCAAACACAUGUGGCAGGUUUUUCUCACCGCAUAAAAUAUGUUAUAGAGUAGUCCAUCUAUUUCUCUUCCAUGGAAGAGUUCAUCUGGUAGAUUGGACUACCACUUUUCCUUGUGGAGACCUAUUCUGUUGGGUUAGAGAUGACAGAAAAUCUUAUUUGUCGGUUGGUUUGUUUGUUCAAGAAUACACUGACCUUCUACAAGAAAGGAGAGCUCUUUGACACCUGGAAAUUUUACAGAAGCUUGGGACAGCUCUGAAUGGCAACACGGUCCUGAGAUAUGUGAUUACCUGGGACUUUCAUUGGACCUGCAUUUCAGCUCUACUCUCCUCACUGCCCUAUGCUGCUUUGACCCUAAAAGUGAAGCCAGCUUGGCCAGGUGCAGUGACUCACACCUGUAAUCCCAGCACUUUGGGAGGCCGAGGUGGGCAAAUCAAGAAGUCAGGAAAUCGAGACCACCCUGGCCAACAUUGUGAAACACCAUCUCUACUAAAACACAAAAAAAUUAGCCAGGUGUGGUGGCACGCACCUGUAGUCCCAGCUACUCGGGAGGCUGAGGCAGGGGAAUCACUUGAACCCGUGAGGAGGAAAUUGCAGCGAGCCAAGAUCGCGCCACUGCACCCCAGCCUGGGCGACAGAGAGAGACUCCAUCUCAAAAACAAAACAAAACAAAACAAAAAAAACAAAAAGUGAAGCCAACUCAAUUGUCUCAUAGAACUGAUCUUUACGGUGUUUUUAAAUAAACAUAGAAAUUGGCCCUCCCAGUCUUAAAACUUCAAAAACUUACAUUUGUCUUACCUCAGUUCCUUUCUCAGGAAUCCAAUCAUCAAGGCUCCCAGAUAGUAUCAAUGAACGGAAACUUACCAGAUCACGAUAUCUGGACAAUGAGAUGUCAGAUCCCCCUCAUCCAUCCUGAUUACCUAACUGACUACCUGCUUCCUGUUGGCCAACUACUCUUCCUUACCCCUCCCUAAUUCUUGUUUUCCCACAAAUGGUUACAUUUCUGUCCUGCUAUAGAAGCCCUUAAUUUUAAUUGGUCGAGGAGAUGGAUUUGAGACUGAUUUUUUGCUCUCCUUGGCUGUUGCACCUGAAUAGCCUUUUUCCCUGGCAAUACUUUUUGUCUCAGUGAUUGGCUUUCUGUGCAGUGAGCAAUGGGACCAAACUUCUGGUGUUUUGGUAACAAAUUUUGGUUUCCUGACUGUGAAUGCAUUGCUUGUGACUCAGCUGCCAUGAGCUGGGAGAGUUUCAAAAGCCCUCUAAGCAGCUACCUGACCAUUUUGGCCAGAGGUGGAUUUUCGUCUCUCCCCAUUUGGGCCCACUUCUGCCAACCCCAACCAUGUUCCUGAUUGCCUAGGAAGAACAGCCUUUGAAAUUUGACGUCUAUGUACAGAAAGGUGAGUGUCUUUUAUGGGUACUAGACAGUGGGAAUGGUUCCUCUCCAUUUGGGAAAUCCCAAAGGCAUAUCAGUUUGCAGGUUAAACAAGCCAAACUGAUGGAGAGAGGAUAAUACCUUGACUGAUUCAGUUUGAACACUCUUGGGGCUUGUUCAUUGCUACAGAAGUUGGAUUGUGUUUUGGUGAUUGUUUGCUUGUGUAUGUCUAUGUAGUUAUGGGAUGUCAGGGUUUGAUCCCAGAGUGCAGCCCACAUGGGUGCAUUCUUUGGGUUAGUCUGUAUGUAGUUGUGGGUUGACAGAGCAGGGGAAAUUCUACAGCCAUACCACUCUGAGUGUGGCUGAUCUUGUCUGAUCGCGAUGUCUUUGCAUUGUAGUGCUGUCUUACAAUUGAAUUCAUUUUGCUGUUGAAUGGGAAAGCAGGAUGGAGGUCCAUGUAUGUAUGCUUUUAUGCUGCUGCUCUGAACAGGGUUGGGCCUGAUUAGUACUGUGAUGCUCUUCUGUGGUGCUGUUUGGCCCCAGUGUUCUUUGGAAUCCGGGGAAUUUUGGCCUUUAAAAGUUAAACUGCCAUGGGAACUGAUUUACCCAGUUUUAGUUCAUAGCCUUCAUUGUAUUAUCUAUCAGGGCAAAAAAGUUAGCCGUGUGAACAUGUUCGUAAACCAGUGAGUUUGUAUUGCUAUCUCAUGCCUAGAAUUCUAAAGUAAAAACUAUUGGGUCUUUGUUUGUAUAUAUGUAUAUGGGUCUAAAUGUUAUGUGUUGUUUUUACAGGGUACAGAUUGGCUCAUAAAUAAAAGAGCACUCAUAAAUUAAGUGAA
RNAcentral lists this long non-coding RNA (4601 nucleotides) under Homo sapiens (human). Its description in RNAcentral is "PREDICTED lncRNA (TCONS_00194487)". Lineage: Eukaryota; Metazoa; Chordata; Mammalia; Primates; Hominidae. The record is from RNAcentral.